UGCUUUCACAUCUUUCCUUUGCUGAAGUCUGCUGAAUAAAUCAAACAAAUAUGUCGUGAGGUGUGAGUUUUUCUUACAUGAUGCCUGCUGUACAUACCCCCCAGUCAUUCCUCUUUAGAGAAAUUGCUGAAAUGUCAUGUUUGCCAAUGAGAGGCAGACAGAAAUCUGAGUGCCAGCUAAAAAUUCCGGAACAAUAUUGUCAUUCUAAAAGCCAAGCAUAUUGUUCUAUUGCAAAAGUUCUAGUCCAAAGUAAGGACAAUUUUUCCCAAGUGAUUGAGUGGAGCAGCAAAUGCCUGUGAAAAUAGUAGAUAUAAAAAUAUCAGCAAGAGCCAAAAUUACAAGACUGUUUCUGAAAAUAUUCCGAAAGAAUGUUUAGAAAACAUCUUUUUCCAGGUAGACAGAGAGUUUGUGAGGCUGCAUCAUUGGCAUCAUUUUAUCAUCACCAUCCCGCUCAGGAGCUCAAGAAGAGGGGAACUGAGUCAGUUAGAAUUACAGAGGGUGAUAAUAAUUUCAGUUGGAGCCUCACUGGUAACCUUGCUCAGCCACACGACUGGAAUGUAAGAGGCUGGGGCAUUUUGGACAGCACAGAUGUUAAACGUGAACACUACCUUCUCAGUAGCACAAAUCUGACUACAUCUUUAAGUCUCCAAGAGGAACAUGAGGACAUGAGCAAUAGAGGAAACCUGGAGGAAGAGGGUGUGGCAUGUUGAAAUUUAAAAAGAAGCAAUGUGUAUUUGCAAGUCAAACCAAUAUAAUAAAACCAGUGGUUAUUUUUUAAUGUUUUCAAUCAUUGGAAUAUACAUGAAUUUUCACAAUAAAGUGUG
This 824-nucleotide long non-coding RNA is filed under the name Homo sapiens (human). RNAcentral's name for it is "non-protein coding lnc-SNCA-2:1". The record is from RNAcentral. Lineage: Eukaryota; Metazoa; Chordata; Mammalia; Primates; Hominidae.